RNAcentral lists this ribosomal RNA (769 nucleotides) under uncultured Actinomycetes bacterium. RNAcentral describes it as "bacterial SSU rRNA". It matches the Rfam family "Bacterial small subunit ribosomal RNA", at positions 8 to 795 of the family's 1533-position model. Lineage: Bacteria; Bacillati; Actinomycetota; Actinomycetes. The record is from RNAcentral.
AGAGUUUGAUUCUGGCUCAGGAUGAACGCUGGCGGCGUGCUUAACACAUGCAAGUCGAACGAGGUCCAACCUUCGGGUGAAGACCGAGUGGCGAACGGGUGAGUAACACGUGGGGAACCUGCCCUUCUCUCUGGGAUAACCUCGGGAAACCGAAGCUAAUACCGGAUACCCCUUGCGGACCGCAUGGUCUGCUCGGGAAAGCUCCGGCGGAGAAGGAUGGCCCCGCGGCCCAUUAGCUUGUUGGUGGGGUAACGGCCCACCAAGGCGACGAUGGGUAGCCGAGCUGAGAGGCUGAUCGGCCACACUGGGACUGAGACACGGCCCAGACUCCUACGGGAGGCAGCAGUGGGGAAUCUUGCGCAAUGGGCGAAAGCCUGACGCAGCAACGCCGCGUGCGGGAUGAAGGCUCUCGGGUCGUAAACCGCUUUCAGCAGGGAUGAAAAUGACAGUACCUGCAGAAGAAGCCCCGGCUAAAUACGUGCCAGCAGCCGCGGUAAUACGUAUGGGGCAAGCGUUAUCCGGAUUCAUUGGGCGUAAAGCGCGCGUAGGCGGCUUGUUAAGUCAGGCGUGAAAUCCGGGGGCUCAACCCGCGGCUUGCGUCUGAAACUGGCAGGCUUGAGUCUGGUAGAGGAAAGUGGAAUUCCUGGUGUAGCGGUGAAAUGCGCAGAUAUCAGGAGGAACACCAGUGGCGAAGGCGGCUUUCUGGGCCACGACUGACGCUGAGGCGCGAAAGCUAGGGGAGCGAACAGGAUUAGAUACCCUGGUAGUC